GACUGUGUAGCUCAGUUGGUAGGGCCACGUGACGCUAUGUCUCGUGUGUCGGCGGUUCGAGUCCGCUCACAGUUC
This 75-nucleotide transfer RNA is filed under the name Bacteroidales bacterium. Its description in RNAcentral is "tRNA-OTHER". It matches the Rfam family "tRNA". Rfam says of the family: Transfer RNA (tRNA) molecules are approximately 80 nucleotides in length. Their secondary structure includes four short double-helical elements and three loops (D, anti-codon, and T loops). Further hydrogen bonds mediate the characteristic L-shaped molecular structure. tRNAs have two regions of fundamental functional importance: the anti-codon, which is responsible for specific mRNA codon recognition, and the 3' end, to which the tRNAs corresponding amino acid is attached (by aminoacyl-tRNA synthetases). tRNAs cope with the degeneracy of the genetic code in two manners: having more than one tRNA (with a specific anti-codon) for a particular amino acid; and 'wobble' base-pairing, i.e. permitting non-standard base-pairing at the 3rd anti-codon position. The record is from RNAcentral. Lineage: Bacteria; Pseudomonadati; Bacteroidota; Bacteroidia; Bacteroidales.